AUUCGCGCCGCCACCCCUGAGUGAUCCACCCCGGCCGUGUCGCGCGCGGAGCCGUCGGAUCCGCCGUCCCCAUCCGAGCUGGCUUGGAGCGCCACGCGCGGCGCCUUCUGCCGUGCUGGGGCCCUGUGUCUCGGGAAUGAUGGGAGCGGCUGCGUGCGCCCGCGGUGUGUUCGACGGAAUGCCAGGGCCUCGACCCCGCGCAGCAGUGCCGGACCGGCCGCGUCGAGUGCCGGUCAGAGGCGCUGAACUCGCGGCUCCCUGGUGGACCUUGGCUGGCUCGCGCUUCGACCAUGUUGGCUUGCUUUGCAUGAGCUGCACGGGGCGUGUAGGCGGCUCAUCAUCUAAAGCUGAUAAUUCGGUGUCAGCGGAUGGUGUUGCUUCAUCAGUCAGCAUGGACGCAGAACCAGCUUGGUGCUCAACGGGAGGUGACUGCAACAUAUCUGUAAUACAAGAGAAACUACUUGCUGUUUCAGCGAAAUUUGAAUAGACUAUACUUUCUUCUGCAUGGAAGGAGCUCUCAAGGACACUAUUAUGCAAGUUUGGACCUCAAAAAAGCAACAUGGCAGUAUGACACUGAUGUGGAAUUUGUAUACAGUUAGGCUAAAAUAUCCACAGAAAAUCCGCAUCUGUGAACCCGAGAGACCAACAAACAGGACACACGUUUGAAAUAUCAAGUACCCAAUUAAAAGAGCAUAUUUGGACGGAUGGCGCGAAGAAGAAGAAGAAGAAGAAGAAGGACGGACCUUGGAGGUUGCUGUCGAGCCAUUUGGACUGCCUGGUGCGGAUGUGGCUCGCCCACCACCACGAGUAGGCGUUGCUCGCCGCCCGCUGCAGCAUCCUCCACCUGAGAGUUCUUCAGCCGGUUUAGCAGCACCUCCAGCACAAGAUCAAAGUGCAGGACUCAAACUGGAAGGUCAACAAUGUCCAUUACCUACAUUUGCUGUGGAAUAUAUGUCAUCCCCUGAAGAAAAAUGAAGCAAAACACCGCCGCCGCGGCUGCUGCUGACCGAGAAACCUCUAGAGGAAGAACACAAUGACGACAGCGACGGAGAAGAAGAGCAGGUGAAUACAGCACUUUCAAUCUUGUUCUUCCAGGGAUGCCUGUGCAUAGUUGGAAGCAGAAGAACAGAAGCGAGCAGUAGGUGGUAGUGGAGAAGUGGUGGCAUGCUGCUCGUGCCUGGCACGUCGGCGUGUGAUUAUUGGGCCGAAAUGAGAUGGGCCGUGGACUCAAAUUGUGCUACUCUUUUCUUUCUCUUUGCAGAUCUGGCUGAAACGAUCCUCUCAAAAAAAAAAUCUGGCUGAAACGAUUUUCCCGACUCCCGUAAAAUAAGUAACUUCCAAGAAAAAAGAUGCAAGUCCUUACCGCUAAAAAAAAAAGCAAGUUCUUAUUAAACAUAGGUAAACAAACAAAAGGUGAUGUCAUUCUCUGCAGAUGGCCAUAUCGAUUGACAUUUCAAGCAUACAAGAAUCUUUAAGCAAUCCAAAACAGAACACACAAGGAUCUUCAUUCCAAUAUAUUUUCUAGUACAUCUCUCUAGCUAAGGCAAAGUAAUAAUAAUUUGCCACAAAUCUCCAAGCAGUACAAAACAGACAGUGCAGACAAAAUGAAUGCUGCUCCUAUUUGACACUUUACACCCAGCCAGGAUGGCAUAAUGUACAGUUAUAGACCACAUGGGUGCAUGUGGCAAAUUCCAGCCCCAUCUAACAAAACCCAUUAUAAAAUUACAGCUAUUUAGCUGUACCAUAUCAAUAUAUCAUUUCAUUUUCAUGCACCUGAUCUGAUCGAUGCCACCUUCUUAAGCAACCAAGAUUAGGUGGGUACAACCACACCUAAAAAAUAAAUAAACAAUAAGCCCAAUCAACUCAAUCCAUUUCAUCAGCUGUUAAAAGUACAAUCAUGGAUGGCAAACAUGGCAACAAGCAUGAGUAUGCUCUCUGUCAACAAACAUAGUUAGAAAUUCCAACAAACCAUUCAUUCCCCAACAGACAUGAAUAUUCUUUCUGACAACAAACAUGAUUAGAAAUUUAGAAUAGCCAACAAAUCAUGCCAACAAACAUGAUGGCGGCUAGGAUAUGUCACUGGUAACAUUAGUAGUCAUUCCUCGGAAUGAGCUGCACAGUUUACAUUCAGGAAUGAGUAACCAUUCUGAUCAGGAGGAACUCCAUCCAGU
Brachypodium distachyon (stiff brome) is the source of this 2171-nucleotide long non-coding RNA. RefSeq lists it as uncharacterized. Lineage: Eukaryota; Viridiplantae; Streptophyta; Magnoliopsida; Poales; Poaceae. The transcript is spliced from 4 exons. The record is from RefSeq and is a predicted model, not a curated record.